GACAGAAGGAAGUGGAGAGGGUCAGCUCCCAUGACAGAUGCAAGGAGACUGUCCACGGGUGGCUGCACGCAGAUACACCCAGGUCCUUGACCCCGGUUCUCCUGGGCUUCUAUCGGAGGGCAAGAAGCCCACUGGCCUCUUUCUGGAGGGCGGAGCAGAGGGCUGCUCCGGAAGGAGUGGAAAACGAGCUUCUGAGACGCUGCCUAGUGGAGCCGGCCCUCACCCCAUUCCGGGAUAAAGAUCAGUGGGGUUGAGGUGGAGAGGGACCCCACAGUUCCCGCACCUGCCAUUGUGACAUCACUGGCAGCCUGAGGAGUGGAGGUUUGGGGCUCCCUCCACUUCGGGGUCCCUACUGGCCAGCCCCUGACAGCACCAGAGGCCUGACUUCAAGACACAGGCUGUGCUGAAAGUGACCACCCUUCCAUUUAGCUCCUGCCCUCCACCUGGGAAAGUUCACAGGAUCCUGGGCUGAGAGCCCUCUCUCCAUCCCCAGGUCCACUCCUUGAGUCUGUAAGGCCUGGCAUCACAAGUCUCCAGGUGGCUCCUUUCCAACCUCUCCUGCCUCCUCUUCAAACAUGGCUGAUUCUACACGACUGCCCUGCUCAAGAGCACUUCACACGUACGCAGCCAAACUCCUUGGCCUGGCUUUUGCGGCUUUCCCUAAAUUGGCCUCAUCAUGCUUUAUUUUUCAGCCCAUAAUGCUUGUCAUCUGUCUUCAGCCGGAGGGGCACAGCUAACUUCAUGUUGCUCUCCCCCUGGCGGUGCCCUGCCUGUUCUCUGCCUGCAAGUCCUACCAGCAUGCAUCUUCAAAACGCCGCUCCAGCCCAUCCUGACUCCACCAGGCCCAACUUCUGCUUCCACACAGGAGAGCACCCCUUGCUGUGCUCCCUUGUUGUCCUGGAUGUGGCUCACCUCUGUCCCCUCAUGCCCCUCUGGGCUCCUAGUGAAGCACUGGGUGUCUGCCGGGGGGUCCCUGGCACUGACUCUCACUACCUUCCUGGGCUUCACUUCAUUCCUUACUUGAACUCCCUGAACAGCAAAUCUUCCAUGCGGCCACCUCUGACCUCUGGGGCAACUCUCAAGAGUCCAGCAGAGGGUGGUGGUAAAAUCAAAAGAAGACUGAUGAGAAGGACUCGAAGAAAACUUUUAGAAAGAAACCAGAGACUAAGCAGGGAUGUGUGUGAAAUACUGGUUUUUAUUGGUUGGCACAAUAUUACAACCUACAGUUCCAAUGCCCUUCCCUCCCACACAGUUCAAGUGGAAAGAAACUGAUUAACACACAGAAAGGAACAGCACACUCACAGGUUUAAGCAUUUGUUUUUACAAAAAGGAGUCAGAUAUAGGGGUGGUGGGAUUUUAGGGAUAGUACCAGAGCUCCAGCUAGACUAUGGGGGAGGGCUUUGCUGUCCUCUGCUGCCGGCACACAUGAAGGGAUGCUUUAGUAAGGGGACAGUUACACACGGCUGGCUGGCUAUUAAAGGGGGAAAAGGGGGACUUGCAUCUGCUGUGCACCUGUCUCAGACCCAAACCUGAACUUUCUUUUCAGCCCUCCCCCACAACCCGCCUGCCCCCACGGGAAAGAGAGGUAUGAAGGAAGCCUAAGAACAGCCUCCUAGAGAAAGGGUGCAGGAAAACUCAGUUUCCUUCCACCUCCUCUGGACCCAUUCUGCUCCCCUCAGCUCCUAAGAGCACUGAGAGACUGGGGAAGAAGCCAGGCCUGGGCAGGCGGCUCCAAGUGGGCAGGGAGGAAAACUCGCUUUUCCAUACAAUACCAAGCAAGGUUGUUUUGCAAACGAAAAAAUGGAAAACAAGACCAUGCACCCCUGGGUCAGGAGCUCCUACGUCCUGGAGCACAUUUGGAUAGGGGUAAGGGCGACGUUAUUCCAAACCCCAGUUGUGAAAGGUCGCAAGAGGCUAAGGGACCAUAACCAACCCCUCCUCCCACACAAGCGCCUUUCCUUGGAUUCCCUGGGGUUUUGUUGAGCUCAUCUGGGGUUAUUCUGCUACCCUCUCCAAGGAUGAGUACUCAGCCCAUUGGCCACUCCACUUUUUACCCUUUCUAGAAAUAUACAGCACACUGCCUAAACAGGUGAUCCAUUCUCACUCUGCAGAAUGGUCACCAAGGAACCAGGUGACCUAGGGGUGGAAAGGCUAAGUUGUUUGCUUUUCUGGGUGGUCCUGAUGGAAGGGGACAGCAGUGGAGUUCUGGUGGAAUCUGAAGUCUGGUUUGAGUCUGUGUGAUCCCCAGGGGACUGACUGGUCCCUGGGUACAUGGGCCCCUGGCUCUGUCUCAGUUCUGGAGACUUUGUCAUUUAGGCCUCAGCUAAAACAUGAAGGGAAAGGGACAAAGACUUUGUCCUUCAGAAAAAGUUAAACUCAAUACAUCUUGGCUACUUUAUCUCCAUCCAAAGGGUUCCCUGGAAACACCUGUUGAACUUGGCCAAAGGGAGACUGCACCUGUGCAAUACACUUGAGAAGACAGGGUUCAGAAGCACCUCUAGUUCAUCUGUUUCAGAACUGGAAUGGUCCCAGGGAGUUUAACCCUUCUGGUGCUGAUGGUAGAUGAGUGGAGUGGAGGUGAGCAGAGUUGGGAAACCCCUCAAAUAUGCCUCAUGCUGUUUGGAGAUCAUACCCUGUAGCUCAGCAAAUAGAGCUGGGGUCUCACUGCUUCUUCCUUAGAGCCCAUCCCCUACCAAGGUGAUUGAGUAGGUGGGAAAAAGGUCCUUGAAAUAAAGACUGGCCUCUUUAUACAAAAUCAAAUAUAAAGAUGCUACUAACAGGCUUCCACAUCCUCCCUCUGAAACACUUGGGUAGGCCAGAGAUACCUGCUUUACUUUUACAACAUCCUCAAAUGCUCCUACUUCCUUAAACACAUGGUGUACACUGGUAGUUAACUUUAAGAUAGAUGCACUAACUGACAUUUUAUUCAUUUUAACCACCAACUUUUUCUUCAAUUAUAAAUCAGUUUGAAUGUUUUCAGACCAUGAGACAAUAAAAACGGACCUGACAUUUAUAAAACUGCACCCCACACUGUGUCUCUUUUAUAAUAGAGUGGACCAACUGUUUUUCUAACUACAAAAUGCAACACUGUGCAACUGCUG
Molecule: long non-coding RNA, 3101 nt
Organism: Globicephala melas (long-finned pilot whale)
Lineage: Eukaryota; Metazoa; Chordata; Mammalia; Artiodactyla; Delphinidae
Source: RefSeq, a predicted model, not a curated record